RNAcentral lists this ribosomal RNA (494 nucleotides) under uncultured bacterium. Its description in RNAcentral is "partial 16S ribosomal RNA". It matches the Rfam family "Bacterial small subunit ribosomal RNA", at positions 28 to 507 of the family's 1533-position model. The record is from RNAcentral.
GACGAACGCUGGCGGCGCGCUUAACACAUGCAAGUCGAACGGAAGGGCCUGCUUUCCCUUGUGGAUUGCGGGUACUCGAGUGGCGAACGGGUGAGUAACACGUGAGUGAUCUGCCCCCAACUUGGGUAUAAGCCUGGGAAACUGGGUCUAAUUCCCGAUAGGACUGCAGGGUGGUGCCUGUGGUGGAAAACGAUUUUCUAGUGGUUGGGGAUGAGCUCGCGGCCUAUCAGCUUGUUGGUGGGGUAAUGGCCUACCAAGGCGGCGACGGGUAGCCGGCCUGAGAGGGUGGACGGCCACAGUGGGACUGAGAUACGGCCCAGACUCCUACGGGAGGCAGCAGUGGGGAAUAUUGCACAAUGGGCGGAAGCCUGAUGCAGCGACGCCGCGUGGGGGAUGACGGCCUUCGGGUUGUAAACUCCUUUCGACCGCGAGGAAGCCACCUGGUUGGAAGGGUGGUGACGGUAGUGGUAGAAGAAGCACCGGCUAACUACGUG